GAAUGUUCUUGAUCUGGGUAGAAGAAAAAGCGACUCAGUUAUGAUUUUGAGUCACUAUCUUGUCUAAUUGAAAGCCUGAUGACUUUUGGGUAGGCAAUGACCGAAAUGUUAUGUAAUAGGAUAACAUUGGGUGUACAGAGUGAUGGCAAUGCUGAAUUCCUGGCAUCAUGUUCACAGUUCUGGAUGCUGUUUGGGUUGCCAUUUGGACUUUCAAGAACCCAGAAUUCAAACAUAUGUGCACAAAUCCAUCUAAAAGAAGCCUCUGUCACAUUAACAGUUUGUUUAU
Long non-coding RNA from Telopea speciosissima, 286 nucleotides. RefSeq lists it as uncharacterized. The record is from RefSeq and is a predicted model, not a curated record. NCBI's taxonomy places the organism in Eukaryota, Viridiplantae, Streptophyta, Magnoliopsida, Proteales, Proteaceae. The transcript has 2 exons.